AAGGGUGUAGCCCCCAUCCGCUAGUGCCUGGGUGGGAGCGUGGGCAGGGGUGCAGGCAGCGGCCGGGCUGGGACGCACGCUGGGAGGCCGAGGACGGAGCAGGUGCCCGAGUCCGACCUCCUUCGUUGACAGCAUCGCAGGCGCUGCUGGCCGAGCUCUCGGCGCUGGAGACAGAGUUCGAGAUCGAGAAAACGUGUCGCCAGCAAGCCGAAGCGUACGCAGCCCAGGUGAAACGGGAGAACACGAAACUCAAGCGGCUCAGCCUGGCCCUGCUGCCCACCGUGGGCCAGCUCCCCGAGGAGGUGGCCAACGCGGCCAACGAGGAGGAGCCCGGCCCCGACCCUGCCCAGCACUGCGGGCAGCAGCUCCGAGGUGAGAUGAGCUGGGGCUCCCAGCCCGGCCUCAGCCUUGCUGGCACCAGGGGACGUCCCAGGAACGCCGGGCAAGGCGCUUGCAGGGCUGCGCUGCCCGGGUGGCAUCCCCGGCUGCCGGCGCUGAGCUCUGAUUUUUGCCUCUCUACCUCUAGUUGAUCCCAUUUUGGGCAGGUUUCCAAAGCCUGAGUUCGGCCCUAGAUGAUCAGGAGAGAGUCCCUACUCUGCACACUCUCAGCACAUGCAUGACGGUUCAGGCGGUUCCACUUCAUGACGUGCUCAAAUUAGCUAAUUAAUAGUAAUUAUGACAGACCCUAUACUGAUUCUAAAUUAACAACCGCUGAGCAGAGAGUGAGCUCAGCAAAUCCAAGAGAAAACCAGACCCCUGCCGAAGCCGGUCCGUGCAAGGGCAGGAGCCCACCCCCCCCCGGGCAGCCAAGCCACCGCGCUGGCCCUCAGCUUGCCGCAACACCCUGGCCCCUCUGCCUUGGCCCGGUGCCACCUAAAGUUGCUCAGUUCGGUCCUACAGUUUCACUUUGUGUCCUGGCCGAAAGGACAAAAAGAAAAUG
RNAcentral lists this long non-coding RNA (940 nucleotides) under Struthio camelus australis. Its description in RNAcentral is "lncRNA (ENSSCUG00000013427.1)". The record is from RNAcentral. Lineage: Eukaryota; Metazoa; Chordata; Aves; Struthioniformes; Struthionidae.